RNAcentral lists this ribosomal RNA (327 nucleotides) under uncultured eukaryote. Its description in RNAcentral is "partial 18S ribosomal RNA". It matches the Rfam family "Eukaryotic small subunit ribosomal RNA", at positions 1470 to 1796 of the family's 1831-position model. The record is from RNAcentral.
CCCUUAGAUGUUCUGGGCCGCACACGCGCUACACUGAAGGAGGCAGCGUGUACUCCUGGAUCGAAAGAUUUGGGUAACCCGCGAAUCUCCUUCGUGCUAGGGAUUGAGGUUUGCAAUUAUCCUUCAUGAACGAGGAAUUCCCAGUAAGUGCAAGUCAUAAGCUUGCGCUAACUACGUCCCUGCCCUUUGUACACACCGCCCGUCGCUACUACCGAUUGAAUGAUUUAGUGAGGACUUCGGACUGGGACCGAUGCGGCUUUCGGGCUGCGUCGGUAUUCUGGAAAGAUGUCCAAACUGUAUCAUUUAGAGGAAGUAAAAGUCGUAACA